GCUUGGACGAUGGUCAUGUUGACAGGAUUCUCAUGAGGUUUGAUUAAUAUUAGUUCACUUCAUCUUAUGGCCCAUAACUGCUUGUGUUACAUCAUGCCUCACAAUCUAAGUCACUCUAUUUCUUUUGAGCUGAUCAUUUCCAGAUGAUUGUGAAAUGCUUUGCAAUUAUCCAAUUGGAACUGUCCUAUUCCAGUUCACUUUUGUUCAUUCUGUUGAGAGUUGUGUGGAACUCGUGUGAAUUCCCCAAAAAUGCGCAGCAAGAAGUGCCAGCCGGUUAGGCAGAAUUAACUGGAAGUUCCCCUUUUUGGUAAUCUCCCCUCACCAAACACUAGCACAUAACAAAAUACUCAGGAGGUCUUUUUAUCAUUGAAUAAAGAAUUCUAUUUUACUCACAUGAGGUUAUCAUUCUUAAAGGUUUCAGUUUGUUACAUAAUAAACAUGUUAAAGGUAUGAAACAAUAUCUUAAUGUGUAAAGAUCUGAGAGAGAACAAAUAAGUGUCUUGAGGUUUAUCACCUCAGAGAGAGAAGAGGCAGUUACAGAGGCAGUUACAGACCACUAACAGUCAAAGCUUCCCUCUGAUUGGUUAGUAUUCAAAACUAUAUACUAGCAAGUUAGUCUGUGCACUGGAUGGUCUUCCCUUUGAAAUUUACAGUUAGAUUGGUUGACCAUCCAAUACAUCCAACACAUUCACACCGCCCAUUGUGACAUUUGUGCAUUCUAUUGCUUGUUUUCCCAUUUUUGAGUUUAUCUUGAUUCAGACAUCUCAUGCACCAUGUUUCAAUUACAUGUAUCAUGCAGUUUCAGCGUCUCUACAAAUCAGCAGCUAAAUAUUAAUUUGGCUUUAGUUUAGUUCUUCAUUAAAACAACAUCACUCAUAGUUGUCCUUGCUGCUUCCCCAGUAGCCGAGUGCCUUCCAACCUGGGAGUCUCAUCUUCCAGAAGUAUCUCUUCUUUUACAUUUGGAUUGUCUCAUCAUAGGGUAUUUUUAUAUAUAAAGCAUUCAGAAUUGGCUUGUGUUUUCCAUCCUACAAAUAAAAGUUAGUUUGAGCAUUCCUGAAUGAAUGAAGAUCUUCUGCUACUCUUCCACAAUGGCUGUUGCCUAGUAGUUGCCCAUUGAGAAUUUCUCCACCCCCAACACCACUGGAACUGUCAAUACUCUUCUGCCAAUAGGACUGUUAAUGCUUUACUUAAAUUCUUCCUUUCAACAUUAUUUGGGAGUUGCUUUCAGACAAACAUAGAAGGGCUUGAUUUGUUAGAUAGGCUUAGGGAUAUACUAUGACUCUCCAGUUCAAUUAAUAAUAAAACCAAUGUGGUUAAUUUUCCCUUCAAAUGUGGGUGGAUAUGACUCAGAUCAUGGAGGAGGAGCUGAGGUCAGGCCAGCAGCAGGAUGAGGCCACAGUGAUAGGAAUAAAAAAGGACUUGAGUGGGACAGAUGGGAAGUAUUUGGGCAAGCUGAAGAUGCCUUCUAGUUGCCUUUAAAAACAGUUCAAGAUCUUUAUUGAUUUUUUAAAAAAUUCACAUUCCUUACUAUGCUGUAGAAUUCUUUAUCCAAAGCUACAACAUAUAUGUUUUCUUUACUGGAACUAGAUUUUUGAUUCCUAAUCCUACUUCAUCCCUUAGAAAAGGAAAAUCCCAAUUGUUUUUGAAAUAAACAAAUACAAAGUCUUUACAGUUCAAAUCAUCAAUGAAUAUACUGGUUCCUAAUAAAGACCACAAGAAAGGCAAUUUUCUGUUAAAGGCAAUGGAUGUAGGUAAAGGUUGAGUGUGAAUACUCACACGAAAACAUAAUUUCCUAUUAUAUUCGCUCCUUCCCUCUUGUAGUUUCAAAUUAAAAUCUACUCAAUGACUUACCACAUGCAUGCAAUAUUUGUCCAUGGAUGAUAGCACUCAGGGUUAAACUACACAACAUGCUGAGCUUGUAGUUAACAAGUGAGAGCAUGUUUUCCUUCCUUUUCUGAUUCCUUCAGAGUUUCAUGCUUGAGCCAUGAGACUUGUAAAUAAAUUCUGUACUUACUUUCCAAGACCAGCACAAAACAAAGCAAGCUAACUGGCAAAAAACAGCAACGACAACAACAAAAAGGAAGUGGAGGGACGGAAAGCUUGUGUUAGGAUAAUCAGUAACUUUUUUUUUUACUUGAGGGAACACUACUUCUAAAUAUGGGGCUGAUUGUCUACUUUCACUCUGAGAACCCCUGCCUUUUCACUAAGACUUGAUACCCAUCCUAUACUUAAGCCUUCCAAAAAUAUGCUAUUUUACCUGCCAGGUUUCCCCACCCAAACCUCAGAUGUCUUGAGAAAUAAUGAGAAAACAUGGUAACAGUGGGAAGUAUUUCUGCUUAAUGUGUAAACAGUUCCCUUAAUGUCUGAUCUGGUUCUUAGUGAUACACUUGAAUUAUAUUUGAUCUAAUCCACCAAAUGGUCCACAUUUGGCUGGCAGGCAGGCAAGCACCAGGCAGCCAGCAUCUCCUGAUCUGCUACUUGCCCACUAGUCUGCCUCUUGCUUCAAGCACAUGCCAUUGUCCUCAAACCUUUGCCGGUGCUCUGAUUAUAAUGGCAGAUGUGUACUUGGUCUGUCAUCCCUAGAAGACCUCCCCUCACCUCAGGAGACAACCUAAGGACCUGGCAAUACACAGCCUCUCUUGAAGAAUAUCCUGCAAAAUAACAUCCCCCAUCCCAGUUUGGAAAACCAGGAAAGGGGAUGGGAGAUUCGUGAUGCUAUUCAACUUCUAAAUUGAUAUUUGUUAAUAGCGUCGAAAGAAGCCAUGAUCUUUCCUCUGACUUCCUCCCAUCAUCUUCGUCUGCAUACUUCUAUGGACUAGCACCGUAAUGUAUCCGGUGAGGAAAGUGCCUGUGUAGCCAGGAGAAGAAGAAGGGAUGGAGAUGUUCAUGGCAACCCCAGUUCCUACAGCCAGCAACUGUCUUGUAGAAUUUGCAGUCCAUGGCAUCUGGAAAAUGUCAGGAAACCAUGUUAGAAAGAUGAAGCAAUGGAAGAGCACAGAUGAAUUACAAACAGAAGAUCGUGACCUCUGGACCCCCCUAAAAUUCCAUGAAUGAAGCAGGGCAACUGUACAUCACAGACUCAUCUGGAAGCACUAAUAAUGCCUCAAGGGUUGUGAGGCCAGAGACCGAGAGCCAUUAAAUGCCUAUUUUUAUCUUCUGCUGUUACAAAUGUGUUCUUCCUGUUUGCUUUUCAAAAAAAAAAUCUACCUUCUCAAUGAAAUGUGCAGUACUUCUUUUUCUUCUUCCUCAGCCUGAUUUUUUCCCCAUUAACUGCAUUAAUAUGUUUGGGUUUUGCUCCUGUAAUUUCCUACCAGUGAAUUGGUGAUAUGAAUAGGCUACACGUUAGCUGUCUGUCUUGCGGCUGGAGAAAUUAAACACAUUCUUGUAAUGGAAAGAAGUUCAACGUAAAAAAGAAAAAAAGAAAAAGAAAAAAAAGAACUUCUCCCCAGCAGCGAAAAGUGGAAGGAAGUGACUACUGGGAUGACAGUGUUACAUUUUCUAAAUGGGUAACUUCUCAAUAAUAAUAAUAAUACUAAAAAACAUUCUCACUCUUUGUAUGUGUGUACAAUUCCACCCCACCCCACCCCACUUGGUUUAUUAUUGGAUGAAGCUAACUGUAGGGUUACACUGCAUGUUUUCCUCCCAUCACACACAGGGAAUCUAGACAGGCAUCCUUGUCUCUCUUUCAUCAGUUUUAGCCUCCUCCUCCUCAUGGCACAUCCUUGCAAUUGCAUUCUUCCCCUCUAAAAGGUCUGCACCUUUCCUUCCCCAGGACUGUUCUUUUUGUGAGAUCUUUGGUGACCAUCAAGCCACAAAGCCAAUGGCUACCAAUGCUGAGUUCCUGGACCCUGUGGCAGGGAAACUGAGCCGUAGAUGUUGAGGUAGGGAAGAAUGAGUUAGGGAAUCAAGAAAUGGAGAAUAUUGCCUGAAAAGCAGUAAAUGGUUCCCCAUUCAACCAUGGCUUGCAGAUAUGAUGCAGUUAGAAGAGAAAAUACCAGCAAGUUUGGAAGGAUCAGAGAUCAAACUAUAAAGGGAACUAGGAGUAGGAGUGAUACCA
Molecule: non-coding RNA, 4057 nt
Organism: Pogona vitticeps (central bearded dragon)
Lineage: Eukaryota; Metazoa; Chordata; Lepidosauria; Squamata; Agamidae
Source: RefSeq, a predicted model, not a curated record